CAUUCACCAUUGUUGUUCUUUCUUUUGACAGGUCCUUUGCUACCCUUUGAGCACAGCCCAGACCUUUGAGAAUACCAAGAUGAAGACAAAGAAUAAUUCCAAUGAGUAUUUCAGAGAUUUUGCUGUCAGAUGCUUUUCUGCUUUCACACAGGCUCAAUCCUGACAUGACUGUUGACUUCAGUGAAGUAACCAGUGUUCAAAGCAUCAAUACAAAAAACGAGUUGAUAAUCCUUGUAAAGAGCCAUGUCCUUCCUGCUGCUGAGUGUGCACCUACGCUGAGAGCCAGCUCACCUCACAGUGUGGUGAAGGAUGUCUGUGGGAUUAGGACUGCAGAACAGGCAAUCCAGAACUGUUAAACACAGCUUGGGAGGCAUGUUAGCUGGAGUUGACUGAACAGAUUUUACUAGGUGAUGAAGAUGUCUUCCUCUAGACUCACCUUGGUUGCAUCCCCUCUUUGAUGAAUCUUUUCCUUAUGUCACUUUAGGAGCAGCACUAUGG
This 498-nucleotide long non-coding RNA is filed under the name Serinus canaria (Common canary). RNAcentral's name for it is "lncRNA (ENSSCAG00000001533.1)". The record is from RNAcentral. Lineage: Eukaryota; Metazoa; Chordata; Aves; Passeriformes; Fringillidae.